RNAcentral lists this ribosomal RNA (493 nucleotides) under uncultured bacterium. Its description in RNAcentral is "partial 16S ribosomal RNA". It matches the Rfam family "Bacterial small subunit ribosomal RNA", at positions 30 to 523 of the family's 1533-position model. The record is from RNAcentral.
AUUGAACGCUGGCGGCAUGCCUUACACAUGCAAGUCGAACGGUAACAGGUUAAGCUGACGAGUGGCGAACGGGUGAGUAAUAUAUCGGAACGUGCCCAGUCGUGGGGGAUAACGUAGCGAAAGCUACGCUAAUACCGCAUACGAUCUACGGAUGAAAGCGGGGGAUCGCAAGACCUCGCGCGAUUGGAGCGGCCGAUAUCAGAUUAGGUUGUUGGUGAGGUAAAAGCUCACCAAGCCUGCGAUCUGUAGCUGGUCUGAGAGGACGACCAGCCACACUGAAACUGAGACACGGUCCAGACUCCUAAGGGAGGCAGCAGUGGGGAAUUUUGGACAAUGGACGCAAGUCUGAUCCAGCAAUGCCGCGUGCAGGACGAAGGCCUUCGGGUUGUAAACUGCUUUUGUACGGAACGAAACGGUGAGCUCUAAUACAGUUUGCUAAUGACGGUACCGUAAGAAUAAGCACCGGCUAACUACGUGCCAGCCGCCGCGGUAA